CCUACGGGUGGCAGCAGUGAGGAAUAUUGGUCAAUGGGCGAGAGCCUGAACCAGCCAAGUCGCGUGAGGGAUGACGGUCCUAUGGAUUGUAAACCUCUUUUGUCGGGGAACAAAGGCGUCCACGUGUGGACUGAUGAGUGUACCCGAAGAAAAAGCAUCGGCUAACUCCGUGCCAGCAGCCGCGGUAAUACGGAGGAUGCGAGCGUUAUCCGGAUUUAUUGGGUUUAAAGGGUGCGUAGGCGGACAGUCAAGUCAGCGGUAAAAAUGCGGUGCUCAACGCCGUACAGCCGUUUAAACUGGCAGUCUUGAGUGGGCGAGAAGUAUGCGGAAUGCGUGGUGUAGCGGUGAAAUGCGUAGAUAUUAGGAAGAACACCAGUGGCGAAGGCAGCCUGCUGGGCUUUUACUGACGCUGAGGCUCGAAAGUGUGGGGAGCAAACAGGAUUAGAUACCCUUGUAGUC
Molecule: ribosomal RNA, 459 nt
Filed under: uncultured bacterium
Lineage: Bacteria
Description: partial 16S ribosomal RNA
Rfam family: Bacterial small subunit ribosomal RNA
Source: RNAcentral